Molecule: transfer RNA, 71 nt
Filed under: Paramuricea clavata
Lineage: Eukaryota; Metazoa; Cnidaria; Anthozoa; Malacalcyonacea; Plexauridae
Description: tRNA-Ser
Rfam family: tRNA
About the family: Transfer RNA (tRNA) molecules are approximately 80 nucleotides in length.
Source: RNAcentral
GCUGUAGCUCAGUUGGUUAGAGCGCUGCACCGGAAUCGCAGGGCCGUAGGUUCAAUUCCUACCAGAGGACC